CAGCACAUUUCAUUGUCCCAUUCUUGCCUUGUAAGAAGUGAGAUAUUUCUGAUGUGCCAGACCAAAUUUGGAGGUAAAUUAGCAGAGUGGCUGUGCUGUGCCAACCCUGCCAGUCCCCUUCAGACAAUG
Anguilla anguilla (European eel) is the source of this 129-nucleotide small nucleolar RNA. The record is from RefSeq and is a predicted model, not a curated record. NCBI's taxonomy places the organism in Eukaryota, Metazoa, Chordata, Actinopteri, Anguilliformes, Anguillidae.